UUUCAACUGCAUUGUAAUGUUUAAUUUCUUAGGCUAGGUGGUAGGUCAAGUAUAUUUAUUGGCUUAUUCUUUGUCCCUUUGUAAAUCUUACAUGUUAUGUAAUUUUAAACAAAUUCCACGUGCUGGAAUUUAUUCAGUAUUCUAAAUCAGUGAUUCUCAGAGUGUGGUCCCCAGAGCAGUAGUAUCAACAUGACCAGAGAACUUGUUAGAAAUUCAAAGUUGGCCAGCACUCCAGACCUCUGGACUCAAACUCUGGGAUGAGGGCCAGCAAUCUGUGUUUUAACAAACCUCACAGGUGACUCUGGGGCAGCUAAAGUUUCUAAACUAUUGUAGGGAAAACUAAAGCACAUUUGGAUGCAGUUCUAAAAAUAAGAAAUUAUACUGUUGAGACUCCCAACUAUUCUUUUUUCUCUUUUGCCUUCUAUUUCUUUGUACCUGCAGUAUUUUAUAUGUCUGGACCAAAUUUCAAAUCUUCUUAAUUAUUUAAUACAGCUUAAAGUUCUAUGUAACUUCAUCACCUAGUGUCUUCAAUUGAAAGUUAAACUAAUCUAAUUUCUUUUAACUUGUAAUAUCCAAUAUUCAUGUUUUAUAAUUCAAUUGCUAAAUUAUUAUCCCAGGUUUUGUGUGUUUAUUCUUUUUUAUGAAGAAUGGAAAUCCCUCCAAUGGUGUUUGCUAAACUUUCAGCACAAUUUCUUGAAAUCUUGGUGCUAGAGAAACCAGUAGCAGAAAAGUCCUGGGCUUUUCUCUUGCUGCCAGCUCCCAACGGGAAGCCUGGGAAACACAGUCUCUUGAAAAACCCGUCAUUUCCUUAUGGUAAACACCCAGCUCAUAUUCCAAAGAACCUUUAAUGGCGAUGAUUGGGUACAACCUGCUGAGAUAAGUGCCUGGAAAUUUGCAUGUACAUUCAAAGUCAGCAAUUUAAAAAAAUUUCCCCACUAUUUUGCAAAAUAAUUUCACAGAUAACUUAUCUUUAUAUCUGACUAAUCUCCAUUUUGGCUGUACAAGGCGAGCCUCAUGUAAGCUCUGAUUGACGCAGUUGAGAUCUGGCUGUAACACCAUAUCCACUUUUUGUUCUUUUAAACCCCCCGUCUGGGCCCGCCUGUAUGUCGGUGGUGGGACUCCCCCAGCCUCCCCUUCACUGGGGCUGUGGCCCUUUCUCCAGAUUCUUGGCUGUGCAGGUGUCCUCACCGGGCUGCAGGGGUCUGGAUGGUCACCCUCCCUUCCUCCUCUCCGCACAUACAAACAUUGAGCUGUAGGGUCCCCAUUCCCUCGGGGUGCAGAUUUGCCGACGAGGGCAUUAAUGGAUUGAAAUAGAAUUAAUCAGUUCUCACGGUACUCAGUCUGUGGUUUUCAUAUUUCUUUUAAGAAAAUCUUUCAUUGAGAAAAAAGUAAAGCAACUAGUUCAAGAUUCAACGAAUCCUGUUGAAGCUGGGUUAAUUUUGGAGCUCAGCCAGUUGGUCUUUUCCGGAAGUGAUUCUCUGCCCAACACUGGAAGCACCUGAGUGUUGAAAACCACAUCCCCAGAGAUUCUGGUUUAAUUGGCCUGGGACCAGGCUUUGGGAGGUCUAAAAGCUCCCAGGUGUUGUUAAUAUUGUCCUCCACCUCUAGAACGCAGUGGAAUCACCUGUAUGGCUUUGUUAAACUAUGAUUACUGGGCCCCACCCAGAGUUUCUGGUUCACUAGCUCUGGGAUGGGGCCUGAUAAUUUCCAUUGCUAACAAGUUCCCAGGGAUGCUGAUGCUGCUGGUCCAGGGGCCACAUUCUGAGAACCACUGCUCUAGUGAAAACUUGAAACCCACUGUGCAAGAGAACCCCCAGACUGAAGAAGCUCCAGGCUCCACAAAGCCUGUAUUUGCCCUUGAUUCCGGCCAUUCCAAGCAGAAAUCCGACUCCCUGGCCUGCUCAUUCGACUUGUGAUCAGAAGCCCAGCACAUGAACUGGCACUGCUGCUGGGAACUGUGAGUCACUCCUUCCAGGUUGCUCCUGGUGUCGGAGCGAGUCUCUGCAGGGGAAGACGAGCAAUCUGCCUGUCAGGUAAUUUAUUCUAAUAACAUCGCAAGUUGCUUCCCAGGAGAGAGUUUAUCCUUUGAUAGAUGUCUUUAUAAUUCCUUAAUGCCACUGGUCUAAAAGUUAUUCAACAGAGGUCCUUCCUCAACCAGCCACGACCACAGGAGGGAGGCCUAGCAGCUAAUGACAAGAUCGAAAGGUUCGAUGGUUUGCCUGGAAGUGAAGAGAGAUUUUCGGUGCUGUGACAACUUGCAGAAAAGCCUGAGCAAGAUGAAGAAACACAUGAUGAGAAGUCAGAGGGAACAGUGUUCACGGAAGAGAUUGAGAGUCAGAGCUCAGGAGGGACUUUCCUUGUUUGCUGUGCAUCACUGGUCUGGUUCUUCAGAAACUUUAAGCAAGAACAGGACCAGUUGCUGGGUGAUGUGGACAAAAGAACAAAAACUAUGACUGUUUAAUAGAUUUUCCAUUAAUUCUUUUUAUUGAUUAUGAACUUGUAAACAAGUAAUACAUUAACGCAUAUUCCUUAUUAAAAAUUUUAACGUCCCAUUUGAAUAAGGGUGAAAUCCCCCUUUCUCAAUGAUUCUCUAUCAAUGGUAUCUUUAUCAGAUGGCCGGGAGUCUGGGGAUAGUUUGGUUCCUAGACUGGCUAAACCGUGUCAUGAAGGACGCAAGUUCUUUCCAUCUCUCCAUGCUCCCAUUCUCAGUGUGGUGGCUUAGUCCUCAAGCUUUAUCCUUUGUUUUGCAAGAUGGCUGAUGGAGGUCGUGACAUCAUAUGAAGACCUGAGAAGAGGAUCAUUUCCUUCCACUUACCACCUUUUCUUAGUGAAAAAUACCUUUCUUCAAAGUACCCAGCAGAAUUAGCCCCAUUGGCCACAAUUGUCUCUCAUGCCCAGGCAUAAGACACCCCAUCAUGCAAUUGGUAUGAGACCACCAUGAUUGGCAUGGGCUAAUCAACAUUUAUUUUCUGGGACUGGAGAGGGGUCUAUCCUCCCUUAGAUACUGUGUUCAAGGGUCAAGAAAUCUGGGGUUUGGUUAGCAAGAAAAAAGCGGUAUAAGGCAAAAAAAUAUGCAUGGCACAUUUUGUUUUCAGAGAAAUUAUACUCAAUAAAAAUUCAGUAUAAAAUAAAUAAAAUAUCUUUACCACUCACAAGUUAGGUCUGAUGCUUUGUAUCUGAACUAAAAUCCACUCAUCUUUUUAUUCUUUCAACAAAUAUUCUUUGGCCGCUUACUACGUGUCAGCCACUGGUCUUGGUACUAAGGCUGGAGAGAUGAACAGGACACACACUGAUCUCCGCUAGCAAUGCUUUCAGCAGCAAGUACCAUAAUAGGCACUUAAACGUGGCUUAAACCGCAGGGACAAGUAAUGUUUAUCUAACAGAAAUUUAGGACGGGCAGUCCAUAGUCCAGUCCCUCUAAAAUGUUACCAAGGGCAUGGUUUCAUUCUUCUCUGUGUUCUUAGCAUGCUGGCUUUUGUCUUUAUUUGUGUUGCCUCAUUGUCCCAUGGUUGCCAUAGCUCCCAACAUCUCAUCUGCUUUCAAAUCACAAAGAAGUGGCAAAGGAAUCUCUUCUUAUUCUCGUCCCUUUUAGAAACAUUCAAAAACUCUCAGAAGCCUCCUAGCAGAUUCCCAGAAAAAUCUCGUUGGCAGGAAUGUGCUAUGCUGGUGUCCUCAACAGCAAAGGAGUCUGGGAAAAUGAUUAUCUCACCAAGUAUUAUGAGCUGUACACAUUGCUGCCCCCAAUAAAAUUGAGAUUCUGUUUAUAAGGGGAGGCGAGGAGGAUGGUUCGUCAAUUGCAAUGUCUUCCAUAGUCCCCUUCUUCAUGGAAUUAAUUCUCUGACCACAUCAUGGAGAGGUAGAAAUACAUCAGGAGUAUUUUUUAUACUCUAGUCUUUGAAAUAUGUCUGAGGAACUUGUGUAGUAAAUGGUCCUUAGUGUUUGUUUUGCACAUUCAGAUAGAAAAGCUGUUUGCUCAUAGAAGCUUGACAUGAAUUGGGAUUGGGAUCUGUAGGGCUUCAUUUGGGUUCAUCCUGGGCAUGUAAGAUGUUGUGGAGAGGGAGAGAAACGUAGACCCAGACACUUGUGUUAAGUAUUAGCUGAUAGCUGCUCCUGGGGUAAAAAGUGCCAUUGGCAGAGCAUCCACUGAUUUCCUUACUCUGGCACCAGCCGCAUCUUAUUGCCGUCUCAGCUUAUUUGUCUAGCUGCUCCACUAAACAACUAGCUUCUUGAGGGAAGAGGCUAUGUUUUACUUAUUUCUGUGUGCCUAACCCUGAGGAUGGUGUCUGGCACAUAGUAGGGACUCAGUGAAGGUUGGAGUUUGGAAAUUAUCUUUCAGGGGGGAAAAUGUGGGAAGGAAAGUUCAAAUAUUCAUAUUAAAGAAUUAAAACUAGAAGUGUUUAAAAAACUAACUUAAAAAAUAAAAGUAGUCAAAUGAUAGAAAUGGAUUAGGUAGCACCUAGACCUCAGGAGGAGUAAUCUGUCUCUUCUUUUAUUUUUCAAUUUUUUUCCAUCUCUCUGGGAGGUUGAGGUCAUGUGGUGUUUGUUCAAAUUGUUUGGGUCUACAUGGCACAGAAGUGGGACUAAAGUGCAGAUGAGGUGGAACUCAGAAACAGCCUGUCAAAGCAAGCAUGAUUUAAAGCCGUUGCCACGUACAUUGUAUCGUUUUUAUAGCAUGGGAAGCAGUAAGGGCGACUUUACUGCAGUCACAGCUACCUUUACUACCAUAGAUAAGUGAAUUCAAGCAGGCCUCCUAGAAGUUCAAGGGUGUGUAGUUGUUUCUUUCUUUCUUUCUUCAGAAAAUUCAACAAUCAAAUCUCUCCAAUAUUAGUUUUUAACAUUUGCUUUGUUAGAUUGUUGUCGCCUUACAAAUUUAUGUUUCGUUAGUGAUAUUGCUUCAUUAUAAUUCCCACAUACGCAUGUUUUGGAAAGUCGGUGAAAGGCUUUGCAUUCUCCCUGCCUACAAGGCACGGGUCAGUGUGAGAGGGAGGGGAGCCCUGCGCUGAGCUGGACCCUGUCCCAGGGCCGCCACGGAUCCUGGACCUUGGCCAAGUAGUUAACUAUCUGCUGCUGGAUUUCUACUUCUGUAAAAUAGAGGUGUGUGAGAAGAUCAUCGCUUACGAUUUCUUCUAGCUCUAAAUUUCAUGAUCGUAACGUAUUAAGUGCCUGUGUUUCUAGGAACUGAAGAGGGUUAAGGGUUAAUAUUUACUCUACGAGUUAGGUGUAUCACCUCAUCCUUUGCAAUAAAACUUUUAUCUUACAGACUAUUAGAUUGUACGUUUGAGAAACGGUGGCAGUGAUAUAACAUAAUAAAAAACUGAAAGGUACAAUUAAAAUUUGAUAUGUUUAUUUUAGUUUUUUUUAACAUCUUUUUUUUUUUUUUUUUUACUGGGAGAGAUUUGCCCUGAGCUAACCUCUGGCGCCAAGCUUCCUCUCCUUCUCUCUUUUUUCACCCCUCCCCAAAUCGCAGUACGUAUUGUAUAUUCUGGUUGUAAGUCCUAGUUCUUCUAUGUGAGCCGCUGCUACACCAUGGCUAGUGACAGACGAGUGGUGUGGUUUGGCACCCAGGAGUUGAACCUGCACUGCCAAAGCGGAGCACACCAAGCUUUAACCACUAUGCCAUCAGGGCUGGCUCUGGUAUAUUUAUUUUAAUGUCUAUUUCUACAAAUAUCCAACAUGCAUGUGCAUAAUUAGAAUCAUACGGCAUACAGAAUUGUGUAUCUUCCUUUUUUCCACUGAAUUUUCUUAUGAGCAUUUUCCCAUCCCAUUAAAAAAUCUUUAAAAAAACAAUAUUUUGCUGUCUUAAAGAAUUUUAUAUUGUUAAAUGUAACACAAAUACAGGAAAGUGCCUAAAUGAACUAUUAUAAAGUAGACACUUGCAGCCACAACCUGUCUCAGCCACCCCAGAAAUGCUUUUCUCUUGCCCUGCUGAAAUUUAUUGCCCUGAUGACUUUUAUGGUAAUCAUUUCCUUAUUUCUAUUUACAUUUUUACCACUCAGUGUGCAUCCCUAAACAUUAUCGUUUAGUGUUGCCUGAAAGUAUAAUUUUUAAUGGAUGUUUAUUAUUCCAUCUUAUGAAGAUAAAUUAACACAUGCACGCACAGCUUAUUGGAUUAUUUACUUUCCUUCUUGCUAGCUUAUUGUUUUAUUUUUUGAAGAGAUAUCUGUUCACAUAAUGCAGCAUCUUAAAGCUUCAAAGGGGCUGCAGUGAAAGGUCUCUCUCCCGCCUCUGUCCUCCAGCCACCUGGCUGUCUCGAGGACCACUUGCUACGAAGUUGUUUUUGAGGAAAAAGGAGCCUAAGAAUGGGAUUGAUGUUUUUUCAGGUUUAACAUCCUAAAUGAAUCUAAGUAGGCACAAAAAAUACAAUAGAAGUCUUAUUAAAGCAUGCAAAAUCCCUGCUGAUUUUUCUUUUAUGUGAAGUUGGCAUAAUAUCUGGAGUGUUUCACUCUUAGCUUAGUUCAAUGCAUAACAUUGAACAGUUGUGUGAAUUGGAUGUGAAAUAACCACAGAAGGAAGUCUAGGAUCAAGCUAGAUUCAAAUAGAGUUGAGACAUUUUACUUUGCUUUACUGUAAAGCUGAGAGACCCAAGUUACUUUCUUUGUCUCUUGGGCACAAUGGAAACUAAAACAGUUUCUCAUGUUUUUCUCUAGUAGAUCAGUAAAUAAUGCCAUGAUGAUAACAUGUUAUGCAAAAACACAUAAUUCAGUUUGCAUGAAUGGAGGAAGUAAUUAUCUAACUUGUCUGACUAGUACACCAUUUUUAUGCAUCAGAGUUCUUUGGUCACAAGAAACAAAAGCAGGCUCUGCUUAACUUGAAUAAAAGGAAUUUGCUGGAGGGAUUCAAGUAUUCAUUGUUUGGCAGAAAAGCUGGAGAACCAGGCUUUGAAAUGGACAGAGCUAACACAACUUAGGAGGUCCAGGAAUUGGGGAAUGACAAGAAUGGUCUCAUAUCAAAAUUGGCUUUGGGUAUUUUAUUAAAUUCUAGUAGAAACGGUGCCGGAUCAGGGAACAUCAGGUGACUACACAACUAGAACUGCCCAGCAGGGUAUUAUCCGAUGCAAUGAGGGAUACGUUUGGGCGGGUGCAUCAGCAGACUUACGAUGAAAAUAAAGCAUUGAGAUCCAGCCUGAACAAAUCCAGAAGGCAUGAAUAAACUACAUGUAUCUCAAAACUCUCAUGUCAGCUGUCGGUGUUGCACCAAUGGCCCUCCCUCCAGUCACAUCUAGAGCCUCAUCGGGGCUGGGAGAGAGAAAGUGGGUGGUCCCCUAUGAUCAAGUGAUGGAAGAAGAGACAACUUAGGCCCAGUUUACACAUGAAUUCUCACAAUACCUUAAUGCUAGUGGAAAAUGGAUUGCCACCACAUUACAGCCCCACUCAAGGAUGAAAGGACAGUCUUGAAAGGAAAUUCUCACUGUAGGCAGUGUUAUGAGUAGUACCAAGGGUCAUUGACAUAGCACCGAGAGAAAAAAAAGUGUUCUGAAGUACGGAUACAUAGGGACUCUGGGGCAGGCGGGAAUGACUUGGCUGCUUUGUCUGAGGCCUGAUACAGGCAAAACGGGAAGACUGUCUUGGUAAGGCGUCCUUGUGUUGCUCUCCCACCUCCCUUUCCUCACUACUCUUCUGGUCCCUCACUCCUGUUUCCUUAGAGUUGCAGGGAUACCAACAAGAUAAUGUGACACAAACUGUUGCCUAAGUUUUGGGGAGAAACCUCCUCUCUGAAGAGUUCAGUGAAAUAUUUGUGAGCAAUUCAACUCCCAGACCAAAUUAUGAAUGUUCUGUCCAAGCAACGAUAUAUGUCUAGUGAUGGCUUAAACUAUUCUUAGGACUGUUUCCAUUAUUUGAGACAGGAAAUGAAGAGACACUUGUCCAAAUAAUUUCUGAUAGUUUGCAAGGAAUACUCCUUCUCUGAAAAUAUCUCUAACUUAACCAUUUAUAAAAUAACUGGGCUCGUAAUCAGAGAUAGAAAGCUGUGUAUGAGCAGGCUGGUGAGAAAAUUGUCUCAUCAACAAAACAAGAAGCUACCUCAUUCUCCUUACCCUGGGAAAAAACAAUAUGUAAUCGAAAUUUUUAUUUUUUUCUUAAAACUACUCAACAGAUUGAAUUUGACCAUUUCUCAGUACUGUCAAUUCCAUCAAAAACCUAAGCAAAGAAUGUAAGUACCUUCUAAAGUAUUUCUUCCACUCUGCUCUCUGAUGAGUCUAAAGUUGUUCAGCAAAUGGUAACUGUUCUCUUUAGUUUAGCUUUUGGGACAUUUCCUUUCUGAGAACUUCCAAGACACUCUGUGUCCCAUUAAAAGUAAACAAUGGCAGAAUUUCCUCACUAAAGAGGAUAGGGUAAAGCACGGUAACAUCAUUCAUUGGCCUCUCUUUGUGAUGCUUGGUAGAGAGGGAGUGGGGAGAUAUUGAUAAGGUGGACUAAGCAAGUUACCAGCAGGAACAAGGAAGCAACAGGGAGAGUCAAAAUGUGGGAUGAGGUGGGCAUUCUGGAUAAUAUAGGACAACAGAGAAGAGAAGGAAGGCCAUGUCUGUGGGGAUGACUGGCCAGUUGGUGGUGUGGAAGAGAAAUGAAGCACAGCUGAUCUUAUCAUGUUAGGUGACAUUAUUCAUAGCUUUCACUAUGGCUCAACAGAAUGUGUGAUAAGCCACUUUCUCAUCAAAUCAGCUGAUUAUGUUGCCACUCAGCGAUGGGGAGAAAACUCCGUUAAUGGACUGACUAUGUCGUGGACCCCUUAGAGCUUUCCAUCACUCUGAACUCCAGCUUGGAUAAAAUCCACUUAGACCUUUUUGUAUUUCAGUGACUGAGGUUAUCAAGCAAAUGGUAGGGAGCUCCCUGGCUUUUCAGAAUAGCUGUAAAAAAUUAUUUUCAUUUAACCAUGAGUUGAAAAUGGAUAAGGUAACUUACAAAAAAUGGUUAAGGAUGGUGUGUUGGGCACCUGUAAUGUGUGGCUGUUUAGCAUUCAUUUCCCCUUCUUAACAACACACAUUUCUUUUAGAGGAAUUAUAAUUGUAUUAUUAUUAUUGUUGUUGUUGUUAUUAUUGUUAUUGUUAUUAUCAUUAUUAUUAUUUUGAGUUCAGCCUAGUGGACUUGUGCUUCAGGGCCCCUACACUUUCUUAACCGAAGUUUCAGUAUAUGAUUAAAACUAGGUCAAUCAGAAACUUAUUCCCUGGAAUUUUAAUCUUAGGUAGAAGAUUAAAGACAAAGAAAAUGGUAGGAAUUCCUCUAAUCCAGGGGUGAGGUCAUGGAUUUUUGCUACCAUGACACUUUCUGUUGUUCCUCGAUCCUGGACCACUGGGGAUACCUUGGCUCUGUACCUUCUGAGUCUGGUUCUCCAGCCAUACUGCAGAUAAUGAGGUCUGAUAUCUUUCAGUAAGUUUCCUUUGCAUAAAUUAACUAGAGCCUAUUACUGUUGUUUGCAUCUAUAGAACCCUGACUCAUUCUUAAGGUGUACCUCACCAAUUAGGAAGGUUAAAGGAGAGUUGACUUUAUUGCUAGAAGUGGUAGCCAGAAAAACUGUUUAAUCAUUUGAACAACAAAUUUUUAAAAACCUGCAGAAAAUAUUUAUUAAUGAUAAAUACAAUUUUUUAGAGAAAAAACAGACUGGAAAAAAAUAAGUAAUAUUGAAAAAAUCAGGAAAUGUAUUUUUGAUAAUUAUCUCAUGGCAAAAGUAUGACAUAGAUGACAAUAGGUUUAAAAAAAUCUGAUGACUGAUUGAUUAAUUCAUUGAUUACCACUGAGAGCUUAGAGCAUUGUCUUAUUCUAGCAUUAAUACUCGUUCCUCAUUAUUUAAAUCCCACAGAAAUUUUCUGACUAGGUCUGUAUUAUUAAGUACAGAGGUGUAAAAUCUCUGGGCUAUUGGGGCCGGCCUGGUGGUCUAGUGGUUGGGUUCACAAGCUCCACUUUGGUGGCCCUGGGUUUGUG
Molecule: long non-coding RNA, 9914 nt
Organism: Equus caballus (horse)
Lineage: Eukaryota; Metazoa; Chordata; Mammalia; Perissodactyla; Equidae
Source: RefSeq, a predicted model, not a curated record